CCUGUCUUCCAUACAGUUCAAUGUUUUUCCAGGCUCAUCCUAAUCAGUGUUCCCAGGCGUGCGGAUAUUUCCGCGCCGCGCGGACAUUCCCUAUACCCGCGCGGACAGCGUACGGACAAAAACCUUAUGGGAAAAUUUUUCCCUAUCUUAUUUGGUCCGUACGCUCGCCCGGCCCUGUCCGUGCGUCUGUUUAUCCGCUUUUCUUUGCAAUAUUUAUUACUUUUGCGUAAGUUAUUGAUACAAUGAUGUUUAGUAUGAAAGCCGGGUCUCGUUUGGGAACAAAUUAGAUACUUUUUGCAUUAAUUAUAUUGUAUUCUUAUCAAAAUUCAGCCUUUUCAUUUAAGGUCCGUCCUUGUUUUCUGUAUUGUUGUGCUUUUGUGUUUGAUCACUCAGACAUUUUUUCUUACUUUUUUUUCUCAAUUUCGCCAAUGUUAUUGAUAUAAGGAAGCCACGAAUAAAACCCAGGUAUCAUUCAGGACCCGAUUUAGUACUUUCUGCAUUAAUUUAUGUGUUAUUCAAUCAGUUCAAUGGGUUAGGAAUCAUGAAUUUCAUGAAAAGUCAGCUCCUUUCAUUUGAAUUAUUGCCUUUUGAUGUAGGCACCUAUAAUUGUUCCGAUUAUUUUUUCCUGUCAAUGCUUUCUAGAGGACAUAGGUACUUGAAUGUCACAAGAGAUCAAGAGAACAUCAACAUUAUCAACAAAACAACAAAACAGCCGGGGCCGGAAUCGGAAACGGAAACGGAAUUCACGGAAACGGACGGAGCACGGAGCGGCACGGAUAUACACGAGCCCAUCCGGAGAGCGUACGGACAUUUUAAGAUAGGAGCACCUGGGAACACUGAUCCUAAUGUGUAGCUACGCCCUUAAUAUGUCAGCCAAGCGAUGAAUAAUAAGCUGACACUUAAACUUGGCUUUUUCUCUCAGUGGAAACAGGAUGGAACCGUUUGUGAUCGGACUCAAAUUGGACAUAUUUCUAUCAGACGGAACCAUGUGCAUUAAGACAUGAGCCCUGAGACUCAUAUAAAUAUGUGCAUAGAGGGCUUACGUCAUAUUGCACAUAGUUCCGUUUGAUAGAAACACGUCCAAUUGGACCAUAAUCCUAUCCUUUUGGUCGUCAGUGAAAGGAAAUGACAUAUUUUCCAUGCACUGACAACCCGCCCGCUUGCUUCUGAAGGAGAUUCUCUUGUAAAGUAA
Molecule: long non-coding RNA, 1192 nt
Filed under: Bemisia tabaci
Lineage: Eukaryota; Metazoa; Arthropoda; Insecta; Hemiptera; Aleyrodidae
Description: lncRNA ENSSSA1UGG013002
Source: RNAcentral